RNAcentral lists this long non-coding RNA (1320 nucleotides) under Salvia miltiorrhiza (redroot sage). RNAcentral describes it as "long non-coding RNA (SMIL_LNC005566)". Lineage: Eukaryota; Viridiplantae; Streptophyta; Magnoliopsida; Lamiales; Lamiaceae. The record is from RNAcentral.
GCCAGAGCAGAGUAGCGAGACACCAGAGCAGAGAGCGAGUCGGCAGAGUAGAGUAGCGAGACGCCAGAACAGCGGCGAUCCGGAUAGAAGAGGCUAGGACUGACCUUGCAUUUUGCUUUCAAAUCUCUUCCUUGUGUCAGUCGAUUUCGAGAAGAUGAUAGUGAACCUGAGGCUGGCUCUCGCCUAGGGAUGUCAAUGCAGCCCGAAACCCGUGGGCCGACCCGAAUAACCCGACAAAAUUAGAGGGUUAGGGUUGAAAAAUCGCAACCCGAAAAUACCUCCAACCCGAUUAGCCCGCACCCGACUAACCCGGAACCCGAUAAGGCUAGCCCGAAAACCCAAUGGGCUGGCCCGGUGGGCUGACGGAAUUGUGACUGAUGCAUCCAGUUACAACUUCUGCUAUGUUUAGAUCUAUGGUAUUUGCUUAAAUAUAUAUAUGUAGCCUCAAUUAAAAAAGUGAAAUUAAUUAGUUAUAUAUAUGUGUGUGUGUGUGCAAUCUCAUUAAAAAAGUGAAAUUAAUUAGGGAUAUUUUGUAGAAAUUGAUUAUUAGUAUCUCAUUAGUUAGAAAUUAAUUAUUAGUAUCUCAUUUUAAAGUGAUACCAUUUUUUUUCUGUCAAUGAGACGUGCAUGGCAAAUCCACUAAUUAUUCAGUAAUAAUCCAAAUUGAUUCUAGUGCAUUGAUACAUGUUAAAUUUUACUAUCUCAUUUUAAUAUAAUUUUGUUUAUGUAAUCUUGAAUAUCUUAUAUUUUUACAUUUCAUGCUUUGUCAUAUAAUUUAUAUCUUUAAUAUCUAUGUAUAUUUUAUACAUUAUACAUUAGAUCAUUAGGAAUAAUAAAAUACAAAUGAUAAUUUUAUUUUUACGCCUUUAACCUGAUUAGCCCGAUGGGCUAGCCCGAAACCCGAAAGUUUAGGGUUAGGGUUGAAGAUUUACAACCCGAAAAAAUCUUCAACCCGAUUAGCCCGCACCCGACUAACCCGGAACCCGAUAGGGCUAGCCCGAAAAUCCGGUGGGCUGGCCCGAUUGACAUCCCUACUCUCGCCGGAUUUAUAGAGGCCGCGACGGCCACCGCCGGAGUACCGAAUGGGUGGCGUCAACAGCGGCAUCGUGGAGGGAAAUUAGGGCUCGAUUUGGGGCUCUGCUUGUACAGCGGUGAAGAGAGAGUUUAGGGCGAGGAGGCGGCGUGGUCAACAGAUGAACGCCGGCCACGCCGGCAGCUGGAACGGCCGGAGAAGGAAGCGGCGGCGGCAGACGUCUCGACUGGAGGCAGGCCGAGAGUCGAGAGAGAUUGGAGAGGGCAGCGACGUGUUUGAACUAGAGA